This 253-nucleotide ribosomal RNA is filed under the name uncultured bacterium. Its description in RNAcentral is "partial 16S ribosomal RNA". It matches the Rfam family "Bacterial small subunit ribosomal RNA", at positions 524 to 776 of the family's 1533-position model. The record is from RNAcentral.
UACGUAGGUGGCAAGCGUUAUCCGGACUUAUUGGGCGUAAAGGGAACGCAGGCGGUCUUUUAAGUCUGAUGUGAAAGCCUUCGGCUUAACCGGAGUAGUGCAUAGGAAACUGGGAGACUUGAGUGCAGAAGAGGAGAGUGGAACUCCAUGUGUAGCGGUGAAAUGCGUAGAUAUAUGGAAGAACACCAGUGGCGAAAGCGGCUCUCUGGUCUGUAACUGACGCUGAGGUUCGAAAGCGUGGGUAGCAAACAGG